Molecule: long non-coding RNA, 594 nt
Filed under: Solanum tuberosum (potato)
Lineage: Eukaryota; Viridiplantae; Streptophyta; Magnoliopsida; Solanales; Solanaceae
Description: long non-coding RNA (STUB_LNC009234)
Source: RNAcentral
UCGGCUUCCUUCCAUCUCGCUCGCCACCCUCCUAUGUAUUUGUAUCCUAGAUACAUGUGAAUGACACCAGAUACAUGUGUAUCUAGAAUUAAGAUUGAAAGAGUUUUGCAUAUGUCACUUAGCUUUGCAUAUAAAACUCAGCUAGUUUUCCGUCAUGGAUGUGAAUGGAGCGGGUACGGGUUGAGCUCAAUUAUUGAUACGAAAGUUCACCUAGACUUGACAUCUUUACCAUCGCCGAAAGGCCACCGACAUUACAUGUUGCAAGGAGAAAAGAGACGAGUGAAUUUAUUAGUCCGUAGUAUAACGUAAAAGGGGAUUCACAUUUCACCACCGGGGGUUGGAUAAGUAAAGUACAGUAAUUUGAACUCAAUCCAUACGCACACACAUGAGACGGAUCCGAGAGUGAGAAAGAAGAAAACGGAAAAGAGAGAGAGAGAGAGAGUACCAUUUGAUCAGAAGAUGGGCUGAUGGUUUGAAUCGUAAAUGGUGGUGGCGAUGUUUGGAUCAAUGAGAAUCGAUUCAGAAUUGUCAGGCAGCUUGGCGAGGGUGGUUUCGCUUACGUUGAUAUCUGACCCUUCUAAUCCUGAAAUUUAA